UUCGCCGAUCUCCUCGUCCCGCUUGACCGACCGUCGUUUAGCAAAGUCGCUCGGUGUUCCCCGUCGGGUUCUUCAAGGAAGACUUCAAGGCCGUCCUUGGUCUCGCGUGAGCCUUGUUCUCCUUCGAGGCGUCAAGUGGUCUAAAAUACGUCUCGGGAUCAGCGGAGGUCACCAUGUUUGAGAGGAAGCUCGGUGAACAACCUGUGGUCCAACACGUGUAGACCAACACAGAGCGAGACCUGCUGUGUGGUCUCAUCACCAGCGUUUUCUGCCCCUUCCACACAAACCGCCGCCAGGAGAACAGUUAACAAUUGCUCUUUCAACUAUUUUAUCGCAUUCAGGCUAUAUCUUGUUAUGCUAUUCAUCUUCUCUGUGGAACUGUGAAAUCCCCAAACAUGUCUGUGUCAUGAGGCAAAACAACUCAGUGGGUUGAAUAGUUAAAAUAAACCAGAGCUUCAGGUGGCUCCAUUUCCUCCGUGGGGGCUCUUUAGUCCUCAGGGUGUUGAGAGUGCAUUUGUUACAACCGCGCAAAUUGGGCUUAAAAGGCCUAGUCAAACACACAACAUCUCAAACCUACCCAAUGCAGUCGCCCACAUAAUCGUUUGAUCUGGAUUUUUUCUUACUCAGAAACGUUCGCCUUUCUUGGGUUCCAUACAGUUACCUCUGAUGUUUCCUGCUUCCCAACUGGAAAAAACAUCCUGGCAUGUAUUUCAUAACUGCCUCAUUAUCUCUUGAGCACCUGUGAAGGGGAUGGGCAAGCUGAGCUUGAAUUAACCCUUCGCCUGUCAGCUAUAGGGCUGGAGAACUUCGAUCGCAGGCGUAUUAGCUGGGUUUUGUUAUUCCUGGCCUAUUUUGUAUUCAUUGCAACAUAGUUAACGGUAGAAGAAUUUCAGGCCUAUAAGGACAUGGACAUGAGUGGGAAAGCAGUAGAGGAACAAGACAGAGAAGAGUAGCUCUGUGAGAUCGUGCACCCGUAACAAAUUCCCUAGUGCAAAACUCGCACAGCCUAUAUGCAGCAGUGUUCUAGAGGUUUAAGUGGAGGUCAAGCAACAAGGGAGUGAUGGAAUCACCAGCCGAAACAGCUCUGAGGUCUUCUGGUUGUCCCCUUCGUGGCCAUAAACCCCAUGUUUUACACCGUCACUAUUUAGCCUGUCGUUCCAUGUAAUUUGCUUGGGCUAAAGGGCAUUUUCAGGCUUUAUUUUGGUUUAUGAAGCGGAUUAUUUUAAGAGUGUCUUGUACAUUGCAAGCAUCCAUGGUACAGUCGUUAAUCUAAGAGGUUAAGAUUAGUAGUAUGGAGUUCCUUAAAGCUUCUUGGCUGAAUUCAGCAUUGUAAAA
This is a long non-coding RNA of Struthio camelus australis, 1335 nucleotides long. RefSeq lists it as uncharacterized. NCBI's taxonomy places the organism in Eukaryota, Metazoa, Chordata, Aves, Struthioniformes, Struthionidae. The record is from RefSeq and is a predicted model, not a curated record.